AUGACUAAUACCCUCUUCCAACGAACUUGUAUUUCUAAAAGAAAAAUACAUUGUUUGCACUUUUCGUGUUAGCCAUGGCACUAGAAAGCAAACUUCUACUUCUCUUUGCACUGCUUGUGUUCUCCUUCGAUCACACCGCGGCCUCGAAGAUGAAGUCCAAGGUCACACGAAUGCAGUUCUACAUGCAUGACAUUGUGGGUGGCCCGAAUCCAACCGCAGUCCGGGUUGCAGGCCGGUCCAACUUCACUGGCUCAAAUCCAAUGGCAGCUAUGUUUGGAUCCGUUUUUGUUAUGGAUAAUCCACUCACAGCCACACCAAACCCGAAUUCUACAGUGUUAGGGCGUGCACAAGGGAUAUAUGCCAUGUCCUCUCAAGAAAGUGAGUUUAGCCUUCUUAUGACACUAACAUAUGGGUUCAUUAGUGGACGUUACAAUGGCAGCUCUUUUAGUGUACUUGGCCGGAAUCCGGUGAUGAGUGCGGUGAGGGAAAUGCCGAUCGUUGGUGGCACAGGAAUUUUUCGGCUUGCUCGUGGGUAUUGCUUGGCGAAGACUUACUCAAUGGAUCAAAUGGAUGCUAUAAUUGGAUACAAUGUAACCUUGCUGCAUUAUUGAGUUAGACUUAAAUUUAUGCUACAUUUUCAAUGUAUUAGUUUUUCUCUUUAACAAGGCUUUUAUUACAAAGAAGGCUAAUUGGCA
Molecule: unclassified non-coding RNA, 695 nt
Filed under: Hevea brasiliensis (rubber tree)
Lineage: Eukaryota; Viridiplantae; Streptophyta; Magnoliopsida; Malpighiales; Euphorbiaceae
Source: RNAcentral